Long non-coding RNA from Gymnogyps californianus (California condor), 374 nucleotides. RefSeq lists it as uncharacterized. Lineage: Eukaryota; Metazoa; Chordata; Aves; Accipitriformes; Cathartidae. The record is from RefSeq and is a predicted model, not a curated record. The transcript is spliced from 3 exons.
ACAGCAAGCUUUUGGGCUCAAAAAGCUUAGACCAUCAUGGCUACGAAAACUACUGCUACUCAGAAAAUAUGUAAUUCUGGACUCCUUAGUGAAAAAGUAGUGCAAGGCAACAUCAGAGCAGUUGCCAAGUGAUCUUCUCCACAGCACCCAUGAACUUCAGCCUUGAACUGAAGAGGACUCAUCAAAUGCCUUAGGAGAGACAGCAUGGAAUUGGAAGAGAAGCAGGGAUCUCCAUAAAGGGCAGUCAACUACAGUCUUGGUAAGUUCAAAAAAUAUAUAUAAAAUUUUAUUUCUGUUAAAUUUUCACCUUUAUGAAGCGACAUAUAUUUAGGGCCCUGUUCACAGUGGCAAAACAAAGCCAGUUUUAUUGAAAC